RNAcentral lists this ribosomal RNA (253 nucleotides) under uncultured bacterium. Its description in RNAcentral is "partial 16S ribosomal RNA". It matches the Rfam family "Bacterial small subunit ribosomal RNA", at positions 524 to 776 of the family's 1533-position model. The record is from RNAcentral.
AACGUAGGAGACAAACGUUAUCCGGAGUUACUGGGCGUAAAGGGCGUGUAGGUGGUUUCGUAAGUCUGGCGUGAAAUAUCUCGGCUUAACCGAGGCAGGUCGUCGGAUACUGCGGGACUAGAGGACGGUAGAGGCGUGUGGAAUUCCGGGUGUAGUGGUGAAAUGCGUAGAGAUCCGGAGGAACACCAGUGGCGAAGGCGACACGCUGGGCAGGACCUGACACUGAUGCGCGACAGCAUGGGGAGCAAACAGG